RNAcentral lists this ribosomal RNA (465 nucleotides) under uncultured bacterium. RNAcentral describes it as "partial 16S ribosomal RNA". It matches the Rfam family "Bacterial small subunit ribosomal RNA", at positions 338 to 795 of the family's 1533-position model. The record is from RNAcentral.
CCUACGGGAGGCAGCAGUGGGGAAUAUUGCGCAAUGGGCGAAAGCCUGAUGCAGCGACGCCGCGUGAGGGAUGAAGGUCUUCGGAUCGUAAACCUCUGUCAGCAGGGAAGAAAGGUCACUGUGCUAAUCAGCAGUGAAUUGACGGUACCUGCAAAGGAAGCACCGGCUAACUCCGUGCCAGCAGCCGCGGUAAUACGGAGGGUGCGAGCGUUAAUCGGAAUUACUGGGCGUAAAGCGUUAGUAGGCGGCAUGUCAAGUCAAGGGUGAAAUCCCCGGGCUUAACGUGGGAAUUGCCUUUGAAACUGGCAAACUGGAGUGUGUGAGAGGAUAGUGGAAUUCCAGGUGUAGGAGUGAAAUCCGUAGAUAUCAGGAGGAACAUCAGUGGCGAAGGCGACUAUCUGGCACAUAACUGACGCUGAGGAGCGAAAGCGUGGGUAGCAAACAGGAUUAGAUACCCUUGUAGUC